GUCCCAGACUCCUACGGGAGGCAGCAGUGGGGAAUAUUGCACAAUGGGGGAAACCCUGAUGCAGCGACGCCGCGUGAGCGAUGAAGUCUUUCGGUAUGUAAAGCUCUAUCAGCAGGGAAGAAGAUGACGGUACCUGACUAAGAAGCCCCGACUAACUACGUGCCAGCAGCCGCGGUAAUACGUAGGGGGCAAGCGUUAUCCGGAUUUACUGGGUGUAAAGGGAGCGUAGACGGCGAUGCAAGCCAGAUGUGAAAGCCCGGGGCUCAACCCCGGGACUGCAUUUGGAACUGUGUGGCUGGAGUGUCGGAGAGGCAGGCGGAAUUCCUAGUGUAGCGGUGAAAUGCGUAGAUAUUAGGAGGAACACCAGUGGCGAAGGCGGCCUGCUGGACGAUGACUGACGUUGAGGCUCGAAAGCGUGGGGAGCAAACAGGAUUAGAUACCCCGGUA
This 447-nucleotide ribosomal RNA is filed under the name uncultured bacterium. RNAcentral's name for it is "bacterial SSU rRNA". It matches the Rfam family "Bacterial small subunit ribosomal RNA", at positions 328 to 792 of the family's 1533-position model. The record is from RNAcentral.